GUGUUUGCGGGCGUGGUAUCAUCAAGAUUCACAUCCAUCAUGCCUCUCUCUCUCUCUCUCUCUCUCUCUCUCUCUCUCUCUCUCUCUCUCUCUCUAGGUCUAUAUGGAGCAGUUUGUAUUUUUUCCAAAUGAGAUAUAUAGAUGCAUAGAUAGAUAACAUACUUUGGAUGAGAAUCUUGAUGAUGCUGCAUCCGCACACAA
This 201-nucleotide microRNA precursor is filed under the name Triticum aestivum (bread wheat). RNAcentral's name for it is "mir-172 microRNA precursor family". It matches the Rfam family "mir-172 microRNA precursor family". From Rfam's summary of the family: mir-172 has been experimentally verified in Arabidopsis thaliana. This family is thought to target mRNAs coding for APETALA2-like transcription factors. The mature sequence is excised from the 3' arm of the hairpin. Lineage: Eukaryota; Viridiplantae; Streptophyta; Magnoliopsida; Poales; Poaceae. The record is from Rfam by way of RNAcentral.